This 295-nucleotide unclassified non-coding RNA is filed under the name uncultured bacterium. Its description in RNAcentral is "partial contains 16S ribosomal RNA and 16S-23S ribosomal RNA intergenic spacer region". It matches the Rfam family "Bacterial small subunit ribosomal RNA", at positions 71 to 363 of the family's 1533-position model. The record is from RNAcentral.
AAUCCGCUAUAGGGUGGAGAGUAAAGUGGCGCACGGGUGGAGUAACACGUGGGUAAUCUGCCCUCGGAACCGGGAUAACCCGCCGAAAGGUGGGCUAAUACCGGAUGACAUCCCGUCACAUAAGUGGCGUGAUCAAAGGCGGCUUCGGCUGCUGUCCGGGGAGAGCCCGCGGCCCAUCAGCUCGUGGCGGUUUUUGGCCCACCAAGGUGAAACGGGUAGCUGGUCUGAGAGGACGAUCAGCCACACUGAAUCGAGACACGAUGAAGNCUCCUACNUUAGGUCGGAGUGGNUGAUU